ACCAGUAUGGUGUAGUGGUUUGAGCAUUAGACUACGACCCUGGAGACCAGGGUUUGAAUCCCUGCUCAGCCA
RNAcentral lists this transfer RNA (72 nucleotides) under Phrynosoma platyrhinos (Desert horned lizard). Its description in RNAcentral is "tRNA-OTHER". Lineage: Eukaryota; Metazoa; Chordata; Lepidosauria; Squamata; Phrynosomatidae. The record is from RNAcentral.